GCGCCUGUAGCUCAAUUGGAUAGAGCGUCGGCCUCCGGAGCCGUAGGUUAGGGGUUCAAAUCCCUUCAGGCGCACCA
This 77-nucleotide transfer RNA is filed under the name Nitrospirota bacterium. RNAcentral describes it as "Nitrospirae bacterium (groundwater metagenome) tRNA-Arg". It matches the Rfam family "tRNA". From Rfam's summary of the family: Transfer RNA (tRNA) molecules are approximately 80 nucleotides in length. Their secondary structure includes four short double-helical elements and three loops (D, anti-codon, and T loops). RNAcentral also lists the same sequence under 4 other names. The record is from RNAcentral. Lineage: Bacteria; Pseudomonadati; Nitrospirota.